AUUGAACGCUGGCGGCAUGCCUUACACAUGCAAGUCGAACGGCAGCGGACCUUCGGGUGCCGGUGAGUGGCGAACGGGUGAGUAAUAUAUCGGAACGUACCUUUCAGUGGGGGAUAACGUAGCGAAAGUUACGCUAAUACCGCAUAUUCUGUGAGCAGGAAAGCAGGGGAUCGCAAGACCUUGCGCUGAUUGAGCGGCCGAUAUCAGAUUAGCUAGUUGGUGAGGUAAAGGCUCACCAAGGCGACGAUCUGUAGCGGGUCUGAGAGGAUGAUCCGCCACACUGGAACUGAGACACGGUCCAGACUCCUACGGGAGGCAGCAGUGGGGAAUUUUGGACAAUGGGCGCAAGCCUGAUCCAGCCAUGCCGCGUGAGUGAAGAAGGCC
Molecule: ribosomal RNA, 384 nt
Filed under: uncultured bacterium
Lineage: Bacteria
Description: bacterial SSU rRNA
Rfam family: Bacterial small subunit ribosomal RNA
Source: RNAcentral